AUGUCAUGGAACGUGCGGGGACUUAACUCCCCUGCUAAGCGCUCGGCCAUUUGCGAGGUAGCUUUCGCAAACAGGAUUUUAAUCCUAAAUUUGCAGGAAACUAAGAUUGAAUCAUGGUCCACUCAGUUAGCAGUAGAAGUAGGGGGUCCUUCGCUUCUGGGCUGUGUUGUUUUGCCAGCAACAGGUACUAGAGGUGGGGCAGCAAUCUUCUGGGACAAACAAGUAGUCGACAUAGUUUCUCACAUGAUCGCUAGCUUCUCCAUCACAGUUAGGGUUCAAAUCGUCGGAACCAGCGAGUUCUUCUGGAUGACAACA
This 315-nucleotide ribosomal RNA is filed under the name Triticum aestivum (bread wheat). Its description in RNAcentral is "partial small subunit ribosomal RNA". The record is from RNAcentral. Lineage: Eukaryota; Viridiplantae; Streptophyta; Magnoliopsida; Poales; Poaceae.